Molecule: ribosomal RNA, 304 nt
Filed under: uncultured bacterium
Lineage: Bacteria
Description: bacterial SSU rRNA
Rfam family: Bacterial small subunit ribosomal RNA
Source: RNAcentral
CUAACUACGUGCCAGCACGCCGACGGUAAUACGGUAGGUGGUAAGCGUUAGUCCGGUAUUUAGUUGGGACGUAAAGAGGGUGCAGGCGGUUUUCUAAGUCUGAUGUGAAAGCCUUCGGCUUAACCGGAGAAGUGCAUCGGAAACUGGAUAACUUGAGUGCAGAAGAGGGUAGUGGAACUCCAUGUGUAGCGGUGGAAUGCGUAGAUAUAUGGAAGAACACCAGUGGCGAAGGCGGCUACCUGGUCUGCAACUGACGCUGAGACUCGAAAGCAUGGGUAGCGAACAGGAUUAGAUACCCUGGUAG